CAAGUUGGCCGGGUGAUCGCAGCUGAGCAAUCAGUUGAGGAAAGUCCGCACUCCAUAGGGCAUGGUGCCGGCUAACGGCCGGGCAGGGUGACUUGACGGCAAGUGCAACAGAGAGGAAUAUUGCUAAAUUGUUACGUCAGUAGCAAUAAGUGAGGGUGAAACGGCGGUGUAAGAGACCACCGGCGGCGGCAGCAAUGUCGCCGGCCAGGCAAACCCCACCAGGAGCAAGACCAAGCAGGGUGAAAGGCAUUUCGGUGCCUACGGAGCGGCCCGCACCGUCUGACAUCCGGGUAGGUCGCAUGAGGGUUGUGGUAACACAAUUCCCAGAUAGAUGAUCACCAAGUUCAGGAGUGCCUUGUGCCACUGAGCAAACAGAAUGCGGCUUAUAGGCUGACUUGAUAA
This 402-nucleotide RNase P RNA is filed under the name Anaerolineales bacterium. RNAcentral describes it as "RNase P RNA component class A". It matches the Rfam family "Bacterial RNase P class A". From Rfam's summary of the family: Ribonuclease P (RNase P) is a ubiquitous endoribonuclease, found in archaea, bacteria and eukarya as well as chloroplasts and mitochondria. Lineage: Bacteria; Bacillati; Chloroflexota; Anaerolineae; Anaerolineales. The record is from RNAcentral.